GCAGAGCAAUGCAGUCCAUAAUAUGGUUAUAGUUUAGUUGUUUUCCGUUCAUAUGGUUUACACUAACAACCAUUUGAUUCAAUUCCACAUUAUUCAAAUUCCCGCACAGAUAAAGAAAAAUAUCACAUGUCAUUAAAUAUUUUGGACAUUACAAAAUCCUCUAGAACAUUACAAGAUGCAAGACAGGUAAGCUCAAUCAUCAUAAAGAUAAACUCACUACAGGCAUGCUCAGUCUAAACUCUAAAGCUGCUUCCCUGUCCAAGAACCAUGCUAGCUAUUAUCAGGAAGCACUAGAAGAAACAUGGAAUGCCAUUGUCCUUUAUUGUCUUAUUAAACCACACAACUACUUUUACCAAUGCUGUAAUCAACUGCUUAAUGAUUGACAAUACAAAAGAAAAAACUUCCAUGGGUUUAUAUUUUUCCCAAUUGACCAGAAUAUACAUACUUUAGCCAAAAGAUGCGAAAAUUUUACGUCAUAUUUUUCUCCUUCAACUUCAGGUUUUUUUUCUUUAUCUUUCUCUUCUCUCUUUGAUUACUCAUGUGGGGUGGCCAUGAUCGGCCACCCCCUCCCCCUCCACCUCCACCUCCACCUCCACCUCCAAUACUAUUAAUGGUCAAUACGCGCGAGUACUGUGGUGAUACCUUAAUUUUUGGAGUCACCACUAGUGGAGCAUAAUAUUGCCAAGAAAGAGUACUCGCGCGUGGUGACUCCAAAAAUUAAGGUAUCACCACAGUACUCGCGCGUAUUGACCAUUAAUAGUAUUGGAGGUGGAGGUGGAGGUGGAGGUGGAGGGGGAGGGGGUGGCCGAUCAUGGCCACCCCACAUGAGUAAUCAAAGAGAGAAGAGAAAGAUAAAGAAAAAAAACCUGAAGUUGAAGGAGAAAAACAUGACGUAAAAUUUUCGCAUCUUUUGGCUAUAGCAAUACUGCUAUGUGCUUGGAAUUGGAAUUGGGAAAAAUAUAAACCCAUGCUGGAAGUUUUUUAUUUUGUAUUGUCAAUCAUUAAGCAGUUGAUUACAGCAUUGGUAAAAGUAGUUGUGUGGUUUAAUAAGACAAUAAAAGGACAUUACAAGAUGCAAGACAGGUAAGCUCAAUCAUCAUAAAGAUAAACUCACUACAUGCAUGCUCAGUCUAAACUCUAAAGCUUGGAAGAUGCUUCCCUGUCCAAGAACCAUGCUAGCUCC
Molecule: long non-coding RNA, 1183 nt
Filed under: Panax ginseng (ginseng)
Lineage: Eukaryota; Viridiplantae; Streptophyta; Magnoliopsida; Apiales; Araliaceae
Description: long non-coding RNA (PGIN_LNC014587)
Source: RNAcentral